GUGGGGAAUAUUGGUCAAUGGCCGGAAGGCUGAACCAGCCAUGCCGCGUGCAGGAAUAAGGCCCUAUGGGUCGUAAACUGCUUUUGUGGUGGAGCAAUAAGACGUACGUGUACGUCGAUGAGAGUACAUCACGAAUAAGCAUCGGCUAACUCCGUGCCAGCAGCCGCGGUAAUACGGAGGAUGCAAGCGUUAUCCGGAUUUAUUGGGUUUAAAGGGUGCGUAGGCUGUUCGUCAAGUCAGAGGUGAAAUACCACAGCUUAACUGUGGAACUGCCUUUGAUACUGGCGAGCUGGAAUACGGAUGCCGUGGGAGGAAUGAGUAGUGUAGCGGUGAAAUGCAUAGAUAUUACUCAGAACACCGAUUGCGAAGGCAUCUCACGAAUCCGUCAUUGACGCUGAGGCACGAAAGCGUGGGGAUCAAACAGG
Molecule: ribosomal RNA, 425 nt
Filed under: uncultured rumen bacterium
Lineage: Bacteria
Description: bacterial SSU rRNA
Rfam family: Bacterial small subunit ribosomal RNA
Source: RNAcentral